Molecule: ribosomal RNA, 440 nt
Filed under: uncultured bacterium
Lineage: Bacteria
Description: bacterial SSU rRNA
Rfam family: Bacterial small subunit ribosomal RNA
Source: RNAcentral
CCUACGGGGGGCUGCAGUAACGAAUCUUCCGCAAUGCACGAAAGUGUGACGGAGCGACGCCGCGUGCUGGAUGAAGUCCUUCGGGAUGUAAACAGCUGUCAGGGGAAAGAAAGUUCUGAUCUACCCCAGAGGAAGAGGCGGCUAACUCUGUGCCAGCAGCCGCGGUAAUACAGAGGCCUCGAGCGUUAGGCGGAAUCACUGGGCUUAAAGCGUGUGUAGGCGGAUGCCUAAGUACCUUGUGAAAUCCCACGGCUCACCCGUGGAACUGCUUGGUAUACUGGGUGUCUUGAGCCACCUAGGGGCGAGCGGAACAGAUGGUGGAGCGGUGAAAUGCGUAGAUAUCAUCUGGAACGCCAAUGGUGAAAACAGCUCGCUGGGGGUGUGCUGACGCUGAGACACGAAAGCCAGGGGAGCAAACGGGAUUAGAUACCCUGGUAGUC